RNAcentral lists this ribosomal RNA (1111 nucleotides) under Bacillus pumilus. RNAcentral describes it as "bacterial SSU rRNA". It matches the Rfam family "Bacterial small subunit ribosomal RNA", at positions 48 to 1143 of the family's 1533-position model. The record is from RNAcentral. Lineage: Bacteria; Bacillati; Bacillota; Bacilli; Caryophanales; Bacillaceae.
GCUAUACAUGCAAGUCGAGCGAACAGAAGGGAGCUUGCUCCCGGAUGUUAGCGGCGGACGGGUGAGUAACACGUGGGUAACCUGCCUGUAAGACUGGGAUAACUCCGGGAAACCGGAGCUAAUACCGGAUAGUUCCUUGAACCGCAUGGUUCAAGGAUGAAAGACGGUUUCGGCUGUCACUUACAGAUGGACCCGCGGCGCAUUAGCUAGUUGGUGGGGUAAUGGCUCACCAAGGCGACGAUGCGUAGCCGACCUGAGAGGGUGAUCGGCCACACUGGGACUGAGACACGGCCCAGACUCCUACGGGAGGCAGCAGUAGGGAAUCUUCCGCAAUGGACGAAAGUCUGACGGAGCAACGCCGCGUGAGUGAUGAAGGUUUUCGGAUCGUAAAGCUCUGUUGUUAGGGAAGAACAAGUGCGAGAGUAACUGCUCGCACCUUGACGGUACCUAACCAGAAAGCCACGGCUAACUACGUGCCAGCAGCCGCGGUAAUACGUAGGUGGCAAGCGUUGUCCGGAAUUAUUGGGCGUAAAGGGCUCGCAGGCGGUUUCUUAAGUCUGAUGUGAAAGCCCCCGGCUCAACCGGGGAGGGUCAUUGGAAACUGGGAAACUUGAGUGCAGAAGAGGAGAGUGGAAUUCCACGUGUAGCGGUGAAAUGCGUAGAGAUGUGGAGGAACACCAGUGGCGAAGGCGACUCUCUGGUCUGUAACUGACGCUGAGGAGCGAAAGCGUGGGGAGCGAACAGGAUUAGAUACCCUGGUAGUCCACGCCGUAAACGAUGAGUGCUAAGUGUUAGGGGGUUUCCGCCCCUUAGUGCUGCAGCUAACGCAUUAAGCACUCCGCCUGGGGAGUACGGUCGCAAAACUGAAACUCAAAGGAAUUGACGGGGGCCCGCACAAGCGGUGGAGCAUGUGGUUUAAUUCGAAGCAACGCGAAGAACCUUACCAGGUCUUGACAUCCUCUGACAACCCUAGAGAUAGGGCUUUCCCUUCGGGGACAGAGUGACAGGUGGUGCAUGGUUGUCGUCAGCUCGUGUCGUGAGAUGUUGGGUUAAGUCCCGCAACGAGCGCAACCCUUGAUCUUAGUUGCCAGCAUUUAGUUGGGCACUCUAA